This 78-nucleotide small RNA is filed under the name Staphylococcus aureus. Its description in RNAcentral is "3'UTR". Lineage: Bacteria; Bacillati; Bacillota; Bacilli; Caryophanales; Staphylococcaceae. The record is from RNAcentral.
UGCACCUUGUUGGUUGCGAUAUUCAACAAUUGCAUUAGCUUUAGCUUGCCCUACUCCAGGAACAGACAUCAAUUCUGA